CUAUGGUCCAAGUGCAGUGGUGUUUACAAUUCACAACCAGUUACAGAUUUCUUUGUUCCUCCCUCACUCCUACUGCUUCACUUGAUUAGACUUAA
Molecule: unclassified non-coding RNA, 95 nt
Organism: Aotus nancymaae (Ma's night monkey)
Lineage: Eukaryota; Metazoa; Chordata; Mammalia; Primates; Aotidae
Rfam family: Y RNA
About the family: Y RNAs are components of the Ro ribonucleoprotein particle (Ro RNP), in association with Ro60 and La proteins.
Source: Ensembl